GGGUUGUGAGGUUAAGCGACUAAGCGUACACGGUGGAUGCCCUGGCAGUCAGAGGCGAUGAAGGACGUGCUAAUCUGCGAUAAGCGUCGGUAAGGUGAUAUGAACCGUUAUAACCGGCGAUUUCCGAAUGGGGAAACCCAGUGUGAUUCGUCACACUAUCAUUAACUGAAUCCAUAGGUUAAUGAGGCGAACCGGGGGAACUGAAACAUCUAAGUACCCCGAGGAAAAGAAAUCAACCGAGAUUCCCCCAGUAGCGGCGAGCGAACGGGGAGCAGCCCAGAGCCUGAAUCAGUGUGUGUGUUAGUGGAAGCGUCUGGAAAGGCGUGCGAUACAGGGUGACAGCCCCGUACACAAAAAUGCACAUGCUGUGAGCUCGAUGAGUAGGGCGGGACACGUGGUAUCCUGUCUGAAUAUGGGGGGACCAUCCUCCAAGGCUAAAUACUCCUGACUGACCGAUAGUGAACCAGUACCGUGAGGGAAAGGCGAAAAGAACCCCGGCGAGGGGAGUGAAAAAGAACCUGAAACCGUGUACGUACAAGCAGUGGGAGCACAGAGCAAUCUGUGUGACUGCGUACCUUUUGUAUAAUGGGUCAGCGACUUAUAUUCUGUAGCAAGGUUAACCGAAUAGGGGAGCCGAAGGGAAACCGAGUCUUAACUGGGCGUUAAGUUGCAGGGUAUAGACCCGAAACCCGGUGAUCUAGCCAUGGGCAGGUUGAAGGUUGGGUAACACUAACUGGAGGACCGAACCGACUAAUGUUGAAAAAUUAGCGGAUGACUUGUGGCUGGGGGUGAAAGGCCAAUCAAACCGGGAGAUAGCUGGUUCUCCCCGAAAGCUAUUUAGGUAGCGCCUCGUGAAUUCAUCUCCGGGGGUAGAGCACUGUUUCGGCAAGGGGGUCAUCCCGACUUACCAACCCGAUGCAAACUGCGAAUACCGGAGAAUGUUAUCACGGGAGACACACGGCGGGUGCUAACGUCCGUCGUGAAGAGGGAAACAACCCAGACCGCCAGCUAAGGUCCCAAAGUCAUGGUUAAGUGGGAAACGAUGUGGGAAGGCCCAGACAGCCAGGAUGUUGGCUUAGAAGCAGCCAUCAUUUAAAGAAAGCGUAAUAGCUCACUGGUCGAGUCGGCCUGCGCGGAAGAUGUAACGGGGCUAAACCAUGCACCGAAGCUGCGGCAGCGACGCUUAUGCGUUGUUGGGUAGGGGAGCGUUCUGUAAGCCUGCGAAGGUGUGCUGUGAGGCAUGCUGGAGGUAUCAGAAGUGCGAAUGCUGACAUAAGUAACGAUAAAGCGGGUGAAAAGCCCGCUCGCCGGAAGACCAAGGGUUCCUGUCCAACGUUAAUCGGGGCAGGGUGAGUCGACCCCUAAGGCGAGGCCGAAAGGCGUAGUCGAUGGGAAACAGGUUAAUAUUCCUGUACUUGGUGUUACUGCGAAGGGGGGACGGAGAAGGCUAUGUUGGCCGGGCGACGGUUGUCCCGGUUUAAGCGUGUAGGCUGGUUUUCCAGGCAAAUCCGGAAAAUCAAGGCUGAGGCGUGAUGACGAGGCACUACGGUGCUGAAGCAACAAAUGCCCUGCUUCCAGGAAAAGCCUCUAAGCAUCAGGUAACAUCAAAUCGUACCCCAAACCGACACAGGUGGUCAGGUAGAGAAUACCAAGGCGCUUGAGAGAACUCGGGUGAAGGAACUAGGCAAAAUGGUGCCGUAACUUCGGGAGAAGGCACGCUGAUAUGUAGGUGAAGCGACUUGCUCGUGGAGCUGAAAUCAGUCGAAGAUACCAGCUGGCUGCAACUGUUUAUUAAAAACACAGCACUGUGCAAACACGAAAGUGGACGUAUACGGUGUGACGCCUGCCCGGUGCCGGAAGGUUAAUUGAUGGGGUCAGCGCAAGCGAAGCUCUUGAUCGAAGCCCCGGUAAACGGCGGCCGUAACUAUAACGGUCCUAAGGUAGCGAAAUUCCUUGUCGGGUAAGUUCCGACCUGCACGAAUGGCGUAAUGAUGGCCAGGCUGUCUCCACCCGAGACUCAGUGAAAUUGAACUCGCUGUGAAGAUGCAGUGUACCCGCGGCAAGACGGAAAGACCCCGUGAACCUUUACUAUAGCUUGACACUGAACAUUGAGCCUUGAUGUGUAGGAUAGGUGGGAGGCUUUGAAGUGUGGACGCCAGUCUGCAUGGAGCCGACCUUGAAAUACCACCCUUUAAUGUUUGAUGUUCUAACGUUGACCCGUAAUCCGGGUUGCGGACAGUGUCUGGUGGGUAGUUUGACUGGGGCGGUCUCCUCCUAAAGAGUAACGGAGGAGCACGAAGGUUGGCUAAUCCUGGUCGGACAUCAGGAGGUUAGUGCAAUGGCAUAAGCCAGCUUGACUGCGAGCGUGACGGCGCGAGCAGGUGCGAAAGCAGGUCAUAGUGAUCCGGUGGUUCUGAAUGGAAGGGCCAUCGCUCAACGGAUAAAAGGUACUCCGGGGAUAACAGGCUGAUACCGCCCAAGAGUUCAUAUCGACGGCGGUGUUUGGCACCUCGAUGUCGGCUCAUCACAUCCUGGGGCUGAAGUAGGUCCCAAGGGUAUGGCUGUUCGCCAUUUAAAGUGGUACGCGAGCUGGGUUUAGAACGUCGUGAGACAGUUCGGUCCCUAUCUGCCGUGGGCGCUGGAGAACUGAGGGGGGCUGCUCCUAGUACGAGAGGACCGGAGUGGACGCAUCACUGGUGUUCGGGUUGUCAUGCCAAUGGCACUGCCCGGUAGCUAAAUGCGGAAGAGAUAAGUGCUGAAAGCAUCUAAGCACGAAACUUGCCCCGAGAUGAGUUCUCCCUGACUCCUUGAGAGUCCUGAAGGAACGUUGAAGACGACGACGUUGAUAGGCCGGGUGUGUAAGCGCAGCGAUGCGUUGAGCUAACCGGUACUAAUGAACCGUGAGGCUUAACCUUACAACGCCGAAGGUGUUU
RNAcentral lists this ribosomal RNA (2933 nucleotides) under Escherichia coli. Its description in RNAcentral is "bacterial LSU rRNA". It matches the Rfam family "Bacterial large subunit ribosomal RNA". The record is from RNAcentral. Lineage: Bacteria; Pseudomonadati; Pseudomonadota; Gammaproteobacteria; Enterobacterales; Enterobacteriaceae.